GCCAUAUCAUAUAGAAAGAAUGGUUCUCAUACAAUCACCAAAGUUAAGCAAUGUUGAGCCUGGUCAGUAGUGAGAUGGGUGACUGCUUGGGAAUACCAUAUGCUGUAAG
Acanthosepion pharaonis is the source of this 109-nucleotide non-coding RNA. NCBI's taxonomy places the organism in Eukaryota, Metazoa, Mollusca, Cephalopoda, Sepiida, Sepiidae. The record is from the annotation of a GenBank genome assembly.